Molecule: ribosomal RNA, 433 nt
Filed under: uncultured bacterium
Lineage: Bacteria
Description: partial 16S ribosomal RNA
Rfam family: Bacterial small subunit ribosomal RNA
Source: RNAcentral
AACGAACGCUGGCGGCAUGCCUAACACAUGCAAGUCGAACGAGACCUCCGGGUCUAGUGGCGCACGGGUUCGUAACGCGUGGGAACCUGCCCUUAGGUUCGGCAUAACUCCCCGACAGGGGUGCUAAUACCGGAUAAUGUCUUCGGACCAAAGAUUUAUCGCCUUUGGUUGGGCCCGCGUGGGAUUAGCUGGUUGGUAGGGUAAUAGCCUACUAAGGCGACGAUGCAUAGCUGGUAAGAGAGAAUGAUCAGCCACACUGAGACUGAGACACGGCCCAGACUCCUACGGGAGGGAGGAGUGGGGGAUAGUGGAAAAUGGCGGGAGGCAUGAAGGAGCAAGGACGGGUGAGUGAUGAAGGCAGUAGGGUUGUAAAGCUCUUUUAACCGGGAUGAUAAUGACAGUACCGGGAGAAUAAGCCCCGGCUAACUACGUG